RNAcentral lists this ribosomal RNA (436 nucleotides) under uncultured bacterium. RNAcentral describes it as "bacterial SSU rRNA". It matches the Rfam family "Bacterial small subunit ribosomal RNA", at positions 56 to 509 of the family's 1533-position model. The record is from RNAcentral.
UGCAGUCGAACGGAGAAAGAGAAGGUUCGCCUUUCUUUCUUAGUGGCGCACGGGUGAGUAAUGUAUAGCUAACCUGCCCCUUGGUGGGGGACAACAGAUGGAAACGUCUGCUAAUACCCCAUACUCCUUCUUACUCUAAGGUAAGUCGGGAAAACUCCGGUGCCAAGGGAUGGGGCUGUAUCCUAUCAGCUUGUUGGUGAGGUAAUGGCUCACCAAGGCAAUGACGGGUAGCUGGUCUGAGAGGAUGAUCAGCCACACUGGAACUGAGACACGGUCCAGACUCCUACGGGAGGCAGCAGUGGGGAAUAUUGCACAAUGGGGGAAACCCUGAUGCAGCAACGCCGCGUGGAGGAUGACGCAUUUCGGUGUGUAAACUCCUUUUAUAGGGGAAGAUAAUGACGGUACCCUAUGAAUAAGCACCGGCUAACUCCGUGCC